GAUGAACGCUGGCGGCGUGCCUAAUACAUGCAAGUCGAGCGAACAGACGAGGAGCUUGCUCCUCUGACGUUAGCGGCGGACGGGUGAGUAACACGUGGAUAACCUACCUAUAAGACUGGGAUAACUUCGGGAAACCGGAGCUAAUACCGGAUAAUAUAUUGAACCGCAUGGUUCAAUAGUGAAAGACGGUUUUGCUGUCACUUAUAGAUGGAUCCGCGCCGCAUUAGCUAGUUGGUAAGGUAACGGCUUACCAAGGCAACGAUGCGUAGCCGACCUGAGAGGGUGAUCGGCCACACUGGAGCUGAGACACGGUCCAGACUCCGACGGGAGGCAGCAGUAGGGAAUCUUCCGCAAUGGGCGAAAGCCUGACGGAGCAACGCCGCGUGAGUGAUGAAGGUCUUCGGAUCGUAAAACUCUGUUAUUAGGGAAGAACAAAUGUGUAAGUAACUAUGCACGUCUUGACGGUACCUAAUCAGAAAGCCACGGCGAACUACGU
This 496-nucleotide ribosomal RNA is filed under the name uncultured bacterium. Its description in RNAcentral is "partial 16S ribosomal RNA". It matches the Rfam family "Bacterial small subunit ribosomal RNA", at positions 28 to 506 of the family's 1533-position model. The record is from RNAcentral.